Molecule: long non-coding RNA, 1220 nt
Filed under: Heterocephalus glaber (naked mole-rat)
Lineage: Eukaryota; Metazoa; Chordata; Mammalia; Rodentia; Bathyergidae
Description: lncRNA (ENSHGLG00100041704.1)
Source: RNAcentral
GCCGAGCAGAGGGCAUUGCUUUUCAAAUAGAGAUAGGGCGCAGCCAGGCACCUGUACACAGGAAGGGACUUCAGGGGAGGUGACCCGCCCUGCAGGAGGGACAGCCUGUGUCUGAUCCCUGGUGCUGGCUGCUGGGUUCCCCAGGGACGUUUUCCACCUCCCCAGACAAGUACCGGCUGCUGCCCGCCUGCUGGGCUGACCUCCUGGGCCCAGAAGCUGCAGGGCUUUGGGGAUAUUUAAUUCUGGAAACGUUCCCAUGGAAGUCCUAUGUUACAAUGUGGACAGGACGGCUUGAGAUGCUGGUCUAUAAAUGGUUGAUAAAAUGGAAGGCUUUUGGAUGACUCCUGUUUAUGGACUGGAAAUUCGGAAGGCCGGGAUGAGGCGCUGGUUGGACACGUGCAGACCAUUUGUCCCAAACCCAGUGAGAAAUGGACCUGGGCAUCAAGUAGGGAUGGAGAGCUGAUUUCCACUCCCGGAGGAAGCCGUCUGGACUGGAGUCCACGCAGUUUCACGCACUUCCCUCUGAAUGAGAUGGACCUGGAGGCCCAGCCUCAGUGGUUCACUUCCGCUUUGUGGGAGGAACAUAAAAUAGAACACAAAUUUCCAUGGGCAGCUGGACCCAAAAUGGGAAAGGCCACGGCGGGAGGAACUCUGGACGUGAACUCGUCCUAGGAGAGGAAUGUGCACCAAUGGAGCCCCCACUCUCCAUUCACUGAAAAGAUAUACAAGGAAUGUUUGGGAGGAGGAAGUAACGGUUAGGGUAAAGAGAUGCAGAGAGCUACAAGGCUGAGCGUUUGAAGCGUUUGUGCUGGAACAGAGGGAGCCGGUCAUUUCAGGUGUUGAAAGCUUACCUGAAGUCUACUUUUGCUUAAAGAUAUCGGAGUCACGGUAGCUUUCGCCCGAGGAGACCAGGUUGGUAUGGGGUACCUGUGUGUCCGUUGGCUUAUCUUGGGGUGGCCCUGGGGUGGACAAAGUCGCAUCCAUUUUGGGUUCCCUUGUGGAGAGGGCAGGUGUGAUGGCAGCUGUUGAAGACUUACCAGGUAGGUCUUCCUGAUUUGGGGCCAAUCCCUGUAUGUUAGCUGGAAACCUCAGCACCCUCAUUAAUAAGAAAGGUCAAUAAUAACAUCUACCUGUGGGAUGCGGUGGGACCCGGAGAUCAGGUGUGUAAAGUGAUGUUCUGGCACAUAAUUCAAAACAAUUUAAAUAUGCAUUUCUUUGAC